Molecule: long non-coding RNA, 208 nt
Organism: Oncorhynchus keta (chum salmon)
Lineage: Eukaryota; Metazoa; Chordata; Actinopteri; Salmoniformes; Salmonidae
Exons: 3
Source: RefSeq, a predicted model, not a curated record
GAUGUGUGUGUGUGUGUGUGUGUGUGUGUGUGUGUGUGUGUGUGUGUGUGUGUAGGUCGAUGGGAUGUGAGAGAGUGUAGGUCGAUGGGAUGUGAGUGUGUGUGUGUGUAGGUCGAUGGGAUGUGAGUGUGUGUGUGUGUAGGUCGAUGGGAUGUGAGUGUGUGUGUGUGUAGGUCGAUGGGAUGUGAGUGUGUGUGUGUGUGUGUGU